RNAcentral lists this ribosomal RNA (448 nucleotides) under uncultured bacterium. RNAcentral describes it as "partial 16S ribosomal RNA". It matches the Rfam family "Bacterial small subunit ribosomal RNA", at positions 338 to 795 of the family's 1533-position model. The record is from RNAcentral.
CCUACGGGUGGCUGCAGUGGGGAAUUUUGGACAAUGGGGGCAACCCUGAUCCAGCCAUUCCGCGUGAGUGAAGAAGGCCUUCGGGUUGUAAAGCUCUUUCGGCCGGGAAGAAAUCGCAUCUCCUACUACGGGGUGUGGAUGACGGUACCGGAAGAAGAAGCACCGGCUAACUACGUGCCAGCAGCCGCGGUAAUACGUAGGGUGCGCGCGUUAUUCGGAGUUACUGGGCGUAAAGCUUAGACAGGUGUGAAAUCCCCGGGCGUAACCUGGGAACUGCGUUUGUGACUGGUGGGCUUGAGUGCGGCAGAGGGGGGUGGAAUUCCACGUGUAGCAGUGAAAUGCGUAGAGAUGUGGAGGAACACCGAUGGCGAAGGCAGCCCCCUGGGUCGACACUGACGCUCAUGCACGAAAGCGUGGGGAGCAAACAGGAUUAGAUACCCCUGUAGUC